This 29-nucleotide non-coding RNA is filed under the name Rattus norvegicus (Norway rat). Lineage: Eukaryota; Metazoa; Chordata; Mammalia; Rodentia; Muridae. The record is from RNAcentral.
UAGAGUUAGUUUUCUUUAUGAUGAUGUAA